This 428-nucleotide ribosomal RNA is filed under the name uncultured Gammaproteobacteria bacterium. RNAcentral describes it as "bacterial SSU rRNA". It matches the Rfam family "Bacterial small subunit ribosomal RNA", at positions 958 to 1392 of the family's 1533-position model. Lineage: Bacteria; Pseudomonadati; Pseudomonadota; Gammaproteobacteria. The record is from RNAcentral.
AACGCGAAGAACCUUACCUGGCCUUGACAUGUCGAGAACUUUCCAGAGAUGGAUUGGUGCCUUCGGGAACUCGAACACAGGUGCUGCAUGGCUGUCGUCAGCUCGUGUCGUGAGAUGUUGGGUUAAGUCCCGCAACGAGCGCAACCCUUGUCAUUAGUUGCUACGAAAGGGCACUCUAAUGAGACUGCCGGUGACAAACCGGAGGAAGGUGGGGAUGACGUCAAGUCCUCAUGGCCCUUAUGGGUAGGGCUUCACACGUCAUACAAUGGUCGGGACAGAGGGUCGCCAACCCGCGAGGGGGAGCCAAUCCCAGAAACCCGAUCGUAGUCCGGAUCGCAGUCUGCAACUCGACUGCGUGAAGUCGGAAUCGCUAGUAAUCGCGGAUCAGCAUGUCGCGGUGAAUACGUUCCCGGGCCUUGUACACACCG